CAAAAACAUGUCUUAAUGUUAGUUAUAUUAAGUCUAGCCUGCUCAAUGAUUUAUUUAAAUAGCCGCAGUAUUUUGACUGUGCGAAGGUAGCAUAAUCAUUUGUCUUUUAAUUGAAGGCUUGUAUGAAUGGCUGGAUGAGGGAGUAACUUUCUUUACAUUAAUUGGUUGAAUUUAAUUUUUAAGUUAAAAAGCUUAAAUUUUUAAGUGGGACGAGAAGACCCUAUAGAAUUUUAUUUUUAUGUUAUUCUUAAUUAUUUUAGUGAUUAGAUAAUAAGUUUAAUUAUAAAUUUUGUUGGGGUGACAGUGAGAUUUGUUUAACUCUCAUAUAUUAUAUUUUAUUUAUGAUUAUUUUAAAGAUCCUAUUUUWCGGAUAAUUAGAUCAAAUUACCWUAGGGAUAAC
This 400-nucleotide ribosomal RNA is filed under the name Carpocoris purpureipennis. RNAcentral describes it as "partial 16S ribosomal RNA". The stretch from base 1 to 196 matches the Rfam family "Archaeal large subunit ribosomal RNA", at positions 1903 to 2146 of the family's 2987-position model. Lineage: Eukaryota; Metazoa; Arthropoda; Insecta; Hemiptera; Pentatomidae. The record is from RNAcentral.